UACGUAGGUGUCGAGCGUUGUCCGGAUUUAUUGGGCGUAAAGCGCCCGCAGGCGGCUUGGCAAGUUCGAGGUGAAAUCCCCGGGCUUAACCUGGGAACUGCAUUGGUGACUGGCAGGCUUUGAGUGUGGCAGAGGGAGGUAGAAUUCCACGUGUAGCAGUGAAAUGCGUAGAGAUGUGGAGGAAUACCGAUGGCGAAGGCAGCCUCCUGGGCCAACACUGACGCUCAUGCACGAAAGCGUGGGGAGCAAACAGG
RNAcentral lists this ribosomal RNA (254 nucleotides) under uncultured bacterium. RNAcentral's name for it is "partial 16S ribosomal RNA". It matches the Rfam family "Bacterial small subunit ribosomal RNA", at positions 524 to 776 of the family's 1533-position model. The record is from RNAcentral.